GUACUCGCCUUCGGCGGUACAUAUUCUAAAAUUGGAACGAUACAGGGAAAAUUAGUAUGGCCCCUGUGUAACGAUGACACGCAAAAUCGUUAAGCAUUACUUUAAUUU
RNAcentral lists this small nuclear RNA (108 nucleotides) under Rhodnius prolixus. Lineage: Eukaryota; Metazoa; Arthropoda; Insecta; Hemiptera; Reduviidae. The record is from RNAcentral.